Molecule: ribosomal RNA, 490 nt
Filed under: uncultured bacterium
Lineage: Bacteria
Description: partial 16S ribosomal RNA
Rfam family: Bacterial small subunit ribosomal RNA
Source: RNAcentral
AUUGAACGCUGGCGGCAGGCCUAACACAUGCAAGUCGAACGGUAGCAGGAAGCAGCUUGCUGCUUUGCUGACGAGUGGCGGACGGGUGAGUAAUGUCUGGGAAACUGCCCGAUGGAGGGGGAUAACUACUGGAAACGGUAGCUAAUACCGCAUAACGUCGCAAGACCAAAGAGGGGGACCUUAGGGCCUCUUGCCAUCGGAUGUGCCCAGAUGGGAUUAGCUAGUAGGUGGGGUAACGGCUCACCUAGGCGACGAUCCCUAGCUGGUCUGAGAGGAUGACCAGCCACACUGGAACUGAGACACGGUCCAGACUCCUACGGGAGGCAGCAGUGGGGAAUAUUGCACAAUGGGCGCAAGCCUGAUGCAGCCAUGCCGCGUGUAUGAAGAAGGCCUUCGGGUUGUAAAGUACUUUCAGCGGGGAGGAAGGGAGUAAAGUUAAUACCUUUGCUCAUUGACGUUACCCGCAGAAGAAGCACCGGCUAACUCCGUG